CAGCCUUAGGGCCCAGAUAAAUAGGGGUUUACAAUUACAAAUUAAGUGCAAGGUUUACGGGGUAUUAUAGAAGCAGUCAGGGUGCCCUUAUACUCCGCAUGAAAAUUUGAGACACGUAUCCUUCUCAACGCAAAGAUCUGGAGGCCCAUAUGCAAGCAAGGAGGCCCACACGUGCAAUAGACAUGUGGCCCAGCCUGUACAGCCUCUAAACAUGCACGAGUGCCUGCACGAACUGCGUGCACUAAUGCUUGGGAGCGCCCAUGAACGCGGCUCUCUUGGCCCACGUGGAACCAACUGCGCACACAUAGGUCCAAGGGCCGAACGUGCGCAUCCCAUGUGGACAGACCUGCAGAUGGUCCAAGCUCGCCUGCACGUGACUCCUGCAGGAUUUCUCCCUCACAACUCCUGCAGGUUUUAUUAUUUUAAAACCUUUAAAAAAGCCUUAGGAUCCACUUUUCAAAAUACCCAUGUGUUAAAAUUAAUUUUCACAUGUGUUUUAAAUGGAUUUCAUAUGGGAUAAAUAUAGAUUUAAAGUAAUAAUUAUUUUAAUGUAUGUCUAUCCCUUAGAAUUAUUUAAUUUAAUAUAUUUAGAAUAGAAUAAUUAUUUUAUUAUGUAAUUAUCCUAUAUUAAGAUAGAAUUUUAUUCAUUAAAAAAAAAUCCCCUAUUUUAAUUAUGUUUGAACUUGUCACGAAGAGGAAAAGCAAUCGUUGGUUUCCUUUGGAAUCAACCAUAUUUUCCACUACUACAAUAUAGUAUUAUUGGAAAAUAGACUCUUUUAUCUUUAAUCGAUUUGACACCCAUCAAAUUUUGGCACUGUUGCCGGGGAAUUGAGUAAUUAAUUAUUUUUUUCUUUUUUUUACGACCCAGAGAUAGAAAAGACAGAAAACAACCUGAGAAAACAAACUAAAUAGAGAAACUGAUGCAACCACAAGAUCCAAGAAUUGAAGAAGACAAUCAAACUAUAAAAAUUGAAGUAGCAUCAGAAUCGAUGGCACAAGAAUGCACUUCGAGGGAAUUGGCUACUCCACCUAAGAACGAGCAGCCCUUUUUCAUUACUUGUCCCGAAUUAGAUGUACCCUUCAAACUGAAGUUGAGUUUGAUCCGUUUAUUGCCUAGAUUUAGAGGACUGGAGAAUGAAAAUCCACAUAAACACCUUAAGGAAUUCCAUAUGGAGUGUUCUAGUAUGAAACCACAAGGAGUUUCUGAAAAGUAAAUCAAGUUAAGAACAUUCCCAUUCUCAUUGGAUGACACGACCAAAGAUUUGUUGUCCUACUUAGCUCUCCAUUCCAUUACAACAAGGGGAUAGAUGGUCAUGUCAUUCCUAAACAGAUUAUUCCCUAGUUCUUGAGCUGUCAUGAUAAGAAGAGAAAUUUGUGGCAUCAAACAGAAGGACACCAAAAGCAUCCACAACUAUUAAAAAAGUUUAAAAGACUAUGCGUCAGCUGACUGUAGCAUGACAUAUCUGAACAAUCAAUGAUCCAUUAUUUCUACAAAGGAUUGAUCCUUAUAAAAAUAAGAAUGUUGGAUAUAGCUAGCAGAGGCACAAUAGUAAACAAGACUCUCCAAUAAGCAAGAGAAUUAAUAUCAAUCAUGGCAGUAAUUUUGCAGCAAUUUAGAGCCUCACGAGACACUUCAAGGAGAGUGAAUGAGGUAAGUAUUUCUUCUAUUGAGUCUCAAAUUUCUGAACUAACGCAUCUAGUAUAGAACAUAAUUACAAAAAAUUGACCACGAGCGAGAGUAUAUAGGAUAUGAACACAUACAAGAUACCCCACGAACAUGUGUCCUAUGCUUCAAGAAGAUGAUAUGCAACAUGUCAACGCCAUGGGAGGAUUCUAAAAUCAGCAACAAAUACUCCAAUACAUACUACCCCAUAUGGAGAGGCCAUCCUAAUUUUAGCUAUGGGACAAGACAAUAGAAUUUUCAACCAUACCAGAUUUGGCCACCUCUCCAACAAUAAGCAACUACCCCGAAGCAAGUUAUGUCUCUCGAAGAAAUUAUGAAAUCACUUACAACUACAUGCAGCAAUUCAAACAAAAAAUGAGGGCCAAUAUCCAAAACUUGGAAGUUCAGUAAGUGCAUUUUCUAUAACAUGGCAUGUGAAUUUUAAGUGUAAUUUACGAAUUUAAAUUCAAUUAAUUAGUUUACAAGUAAAUUAAACCAUGAGAAAAAUAAAUAAAAUUAAUAUUUACUCAUUAAAAUGCAAAAAAAUAAAAUUAGAGACUGAAUUAAACAAAAAUAAAUCAAUUUUGGGCAUUCUCUAAUGCGGGAAGGUAAAAGGAGGAUCAAUCAACUUUUAUAACCCACUCAACGUUAUGCAAUGCCGAAACUUAACUUCUUAGAAAACUCCUUCCUCUAAUUAAAUCUACUAUCCUAAAAGGAAUGCAAAAACAAAGAUUAGAAAAAAUAAAUAAAGGAAGAAAAAAUGCUAUGAAUGUACCGAUAAGUUGUUCCCUACUCCUUAGCUCAACAAAACUUCUAAAGACUCUUGUUUCUUGAAGAACUUGAAGAAGGUAAAAUUAGCAAAAGAUAAUUGAAGAAAAGCCUAAGAUUUAAAGAACUUCUCUCAAACUGAUUGUAAUUGAAUGUGCUUACAACCUAUGGACAAAAACUUAUUUUUAGCUUUUUUCAAGAUAAUUUUAGAUGAUUACAAUAUCUUGAAGAAAUUAAUAAAAUAAUAUUUUAGAUAAAAUUCUAUCUAAUUAUAGAAUAAUUACAUAAUAAAAUAUUUAUUCUAUCCUAUUUAAAUAUAAGAUAAUUAAUUAAAUAUUCUACAGUGAUAGAAUUUAUAUUAAAAUAAUAAUAAUAAUAAGAUAAGGCUUAUGCUACGUGAUUUUUAUGUAAAAUAUAUAGUAAAAUUAAUUUGGACAUGUGGGAAUUAAUUUAAAAACAUGGGAAUUAAAAGGUGAGGUCAAAGCAUUAAAAUAAUUAAAAUAAUUAAAAAAAUAAUUUAUUUAAUUAAAAGGUGGGAAGGGCUUUUUCUAAGUUUUGGAUAACCCGGAUGGGUUGCGCCGGUCAACUCGCGCGGAUCGUACAAUCUAAGCCCAUGGGUGACUGCGGGCUUGCGCACUUGGGCUGGGUGGGCUGGUUUCAGGCCCAGCCAUGUGGGGCGGCCAGUUCGAGCCUGCUAGCAGUGGGACUUCUUUUCUCUGGCUGUUACGAGCGGCGAUGCAUGCGACCCCAGGCUUUUGCACAUGUGUAGUGUUGUGCGCAUGUCACGCAUGUCUUGAAAGCAUGCCACGCACGCUGGGCCUGUCAGUUGCUCCUGCUGCACGCUCGCGUGCUAUUUCACGCAUGUGAGUUUUCUGCCUGUGCGGGUGGGCUCCCAUGCUUGCUACUCACGUGCCAAAGAUAGUUUAUGUAACACCCCGCCCAUCACUGUACUUAAAUGAUUUGAAAACUCUAUUUAUUCGGGUAUUUUGCCACUUUAAACUUAAUUAAUUUACUCAAGUUAAUAUUUAUCACGAUUCUUAAAUCUUGUUAAUUUUUAUUUUGCUUUUAUUUAAAUUUAGUUAAUUAUAUUUUCUUUUAAAUUUAUUAUUAAAUUUAUCUAGCUUAUUUAAAUUAAUUAUAAAAAAUUGAGAAAAAUAAAAAAAUUGCGAAUCGACAAGAAAAUCCUGCGAGAAAAAUUUUACGGGGAGACAGGUUGCUAGAACAGGUGUUGGGCGUUGCCCAGGUGCAUGCGUGUACAGUAGGCGCUGGACGUGUGCACAGUGUGUAUAGUGCGCGGUCAGGACCUACGCGAGACCUAUCGUGUGCUGGUAGGCCAUCCGCGCGUCACCUGUAUGCACAGUAAUCCAGCGCUGAUAGGCCCUGUGUGCCUUGGGCCUGCGCGCAGUAGGAUUACGUGCGGCGACUAGUGUGCCCAGGCCCUGCCUGCGUGGCAAGAGGCUUGUGCACUUGCUGGCUAGCCUAUAGUGCACCGGCCGGGGCACUACCACCUCAGGCGGCGCACUGCCGCCGUCGAUGGAAGAGACCAUCCUCCCUUAUUUUUUGUGCUGAGCAUCUUUUUCUCUUCUCUGUUCACCGAAUUUUACCACUUGGCGCGAAUCUAAUGGUUCAAAACUCUAUAAAUUGCCUUCUCCUUGCCUUCCUUUCCACACUACCAUUCUUCCAUUUUUCAAGAUUUAGAGAGAGAGACAGAGAUAGUAGUCUAGUGAGAGAAGAAGCGAAAGAAAGGAGAACGGUGAAGGAGAAAGCAUCGACGUUUCAGUAAAGAAUCUAAUAUUUCUUUCGACAUCUUAAGAAGUAUUUUUAGAUAAACUAAUUUAAAAUGAUAGUUAUUUUCCCUAUGUUGUAUAUCUCUGUGUUUAGAUGUGUUGAAUUAUUCUUAUUCUCAAGCAUGCUAUGUGAAUUGCAGACACUUGAUGAAUUUGCAUGUAAUAAAUAUAAUAUGUAAAAGGUAAGAGUAAAAAAAAAAAAGAAAAAAAAAAGAAAGAAAAGUGGAAUGAAGUCUGUAUGGUCUGAAGUGUAUCUGUAUUGACAUGUAUAUUGUAUCAAGUAUCUCGUUAGCCUUUUUAUCUCUAAGGGAUAUCUAUUUCCCUUGCCCUUCAAGGUACAUGUUUUUCCCUCCCCUAUCUCGUCUAGAAAGACAUAAGAGACCACUCCCAAUGGAUGUCGACGUACCCUCUGACGAGAGUGGUAUCGCACUAUCUAUAGGGGUCACCCGUGACUAAGUAAUGUCGUGACUGUAGAUAUUUAUUAGGGCCAUUAUGGCUGGUAUGGCUGUGGUCAUAGAUCGUACUAUGAUUUGACCAGUCAGAAAUGGGUUUGAGAAAAUUGCCAUAUAUGUAUCUGAUCUUGUCAUUCCACUUGGAUAGUUAAAAAUCUGUAUCUGUCCUCAAAGAUGGAAGUUAUAACAACUUCGCAAGCAUGACACAAAAAUCUGAGCAUUUCAUGAUUUAUUUAAUUUUCUCUAUUAUCUGGCAUGAUGUAUGUUUGGUUGUCUCAAUUAACAUAUAGUUUUCUUAACAAAUAAAUGAUUUUUCAUAAUGUGAGAUAGGUAAACGAGGAGGUUAUAUGCUAAGCUCUUAAUUCAAAAUAAAUAACUUUUGAAAUCUUACGAUGUUAAUUUAAUACUAUUUUCAUUAUUGAGCAUAUAAAACUCACUCUUUCCAUGCUCUGCCCCCCCAGAUGAGGAAGAAAGUGAAGAACCACAGGUUGACCUAUCUUUGGAAGUUUAUGAGGAUCUCGUAGAUCUACAAGUUUGAGUGCAUGACUAUUCCCGCACUCUGAUGAGUCCAAUAACAUAAUGAAAGAAGUGGCCUUUAUAUUUUGUUUUGUAUUUUGCAGGUACUUCUAGUUUCAGUAUAUGCAUGGAUUAGAACUCAUAUGUAUUUGUAAGGGAUUUGUAAUAAUUUUCUUCCGCUGCAUAAAUUUUAUCAUGCACUUGUUAUUCUAAAUCUAUAUCUGACACCCAUUUACCUUAAUUAGCACUUGAGAUAUCACAGAUGGCAUCAAAGCAGAAUUUCGCAGAUCAAAUCUCUUACAUUGAGGCCUUAGGAAGAUGAAUCCUUUAGAAUAUCUGGGAAAGAAAUAGGUCAUCUUUUCAAGAUUAGAUCACCAACUCGUGUCUUCUUUUCUUUUGUAGGAAUGACGCGAGGAAGACCAUUCGUAGAGCGUAUUGAGCGACUUGAAUCCCCGGAUCAUCCAACCAGGGCUGAAUUUGUAAAACUUUUUCGAGCCAUCCAAGGAUUAACUGCAUCCUAUGACAAAAUUAGGCCAAUCCUUGUCUCCCCCCUGUCCCUGAAUACCGAAACACAGAUCGUUCUAUCUCCCACAAUAUAGUGAAAUUUAGGAAACUUAACCCCCUAUACUUUGAAGGUGGCCCUGAUCCUUUAGUAGCUGAAGCUUGGAUCCUAUAGAUAGAGAAGCUCUUCUCUAUCCUAGACCUAAUCGAAGAACAAAAAGCUCCUCUUGUAGCUUUCAUGUUAAAUGGUGAAGCAGAAUAUUGGUGGGGACUUAAGAAGGAAGUCCUUCCUACCCCUACUACCUGAGAAGUUGCAUGAAUGCUUUCUUUGAUAACUUCUUCCCUGCCUAUGUUCGGAAAAAGAAAGAGGAGGUAUUUUAGGACCUUUGCUAAAAAAGUUUGUCUGUUGCCCAGUAUGCAGGCCAUUUUGUUCAACUGUCUAGGUUUGCCCCUUUAAUAGUCACCCUCGAAAGCCAAAAAAUUAGAAAGUUUAUCAAGGGCCUUCGUGCUAACAUUUAUGACUGGGUUGCAAUGUUAAGACCCAGCUCGUAUGCAAAGGUGCUUGAACAUGUCCAGUUAGCCGAAGACCUUAUCUCCGCCAAGCAUCAAUGCAUUGCCUGAGUUCGUACCCAAUAAUAACCCCAACAGCUUAGAAGGAGAUUGUCUGACCUAGUAAGUAACCCUCUAAACAAACGAACUAGAGUUACCCUUCUUUCUGCCUUGCCCCCACCUACAGCUCCACCUGUCUAAUUUAACCAACCCUGUCAGCAUUGUGGCCGCUCGCAUGGUGACCUGCCCUAUUGGUGUAUCAAUAACGCCUGCUAUCGGUGCGGAAGCACCCAACAUCUUAUAAAGGACUGCCCCAACGACCAAAGGAUAUAACUCGACAGUCGAGUGUACCAUUUAGAUGAAUCUGGUGCCCUUCCUACUCUUGUCCUUAUCCAGGGUAUGCUUUUUAUUUAUAACACUUUUGCCAAAGCUUUGAUCAAUACAGGUGCAACUCACUCUUUUAUUUCCAAUGCAUUUGUUUGUAAUCUGGAGUUUAGACCAGAACCUUUAGAAAAAAAACUAGUGGUAAAAAUUUCCUCUAAGGGACUAUUAGAGGCUCAUUGUGUAUAUAAGGAUUAUAGGAUAAAAACUUCAUGAUUAUAGGUAUGUGUAAACCUAAUACUGUUAGAUUUUGUAGGAUUUGAUGUAAUAUUAGAAAUGGACUUGUUGGAAAAAUAUAGAGCUAUAAUAGUCUAUGAAAGUAAAAUUGUAACCUUACGAUCCCCAAAAAAGAAAUAAAAAUUAUUGUUAUUAUUUCUCUAACAAUUGAAUGAACAAGAAUAUGGGUGUUGAUCCUGUUGUGUGUUCCACACUAAUUGUUUGCAAUUUUUCAGAUAUCUUUCCCAUCGAACUUUCUAGUCUGCCUCCCCACGUGAGGUAGAAUUCUUGAUUGAAUAAUAAUCCUAGAACCUAGCUUAUUUCGAAGCCUGUCAUUAUUUUAAGGGAUCCUAACCCUAAACCUCAAUUAUAUGGGAUGUUUCCUAGAAUUUGCUCUGAUACCACCUAUGAUGCUCUGAUGCCAAGCGGGGCACCAUUGUCCAAUAUAACUGACAUAAAGAUAAAAUAAAUAUGACAGCGGAACUAUACAUCCCAAUAUAAAAUACAAAUGUUGUACACUGACGCAUUAGACUAUCUACACGAUAUACAAAUCAAAAGACAAUCUAUACAAAAUAUACUAGCCUCUAUAGUGUUUUGAAUAAAAUACAUAGGUAUACUCCCAAACUAAUCCUCCUAGAAGGAAUCUAAGCAAGACUCCUCCACAAACUCAUCCGAAUCAGCAUCUGUGAGAGAUUUGGAUUUGGGUGAGUUCCAAUACUCAAUAAGAUAGAUAAUAUUAAAGGUAUAUAAACAUGUUUUGAAAAUAGUUUCUUAACACAAAGUUAAGUAGAAUAGUGAUAAAUUAAAUAACAAUAUACAGUCAUUUCCAUGUUAUUCAAUUUACACGAUAACCAUUCAACUGUUAGUGACGCUUAAUACCAUAUUCAAUGUGUUUACAUAACUCACACAUGCACCCAGGACUAGAAACAUCUUCUUACUCAAUUUUAAUACAACAUUAUUAUGUUAAUUUUAGUUUUACUGUUUACAAUCCUACACGUAUGGUCGCUAACACUAUUUUCAAGGAGGGUGUGGGUCACCAACUAGCUAAGUAGUGGAAAUGCAAUCAAUAAAUAACAACAAAAACAUAAAUAAAUACAUAUAAAUCACUUAAUACUCUUCGAGCAUCAUCCCACAAUUUCACUCUGGUCACCGUCAUUCAUGUUCUUGAGCCAUAACAGUUCAAAGUCUGCAAACCACUAAACUUCAUCCCAAAAUAGAACCCAAUAUCACACCCAAAGCCUAGUGAUUCCCCUAUUAACCUCAAUAUCCAUUCAAUGAAAUCAGUGAACCGAAUUUAAGUGGACACUUUGUGUUAUUUGUAUUUUAAACUCCUCAGUAUUUUUCUUUCUUAUAUUAUUUUAUCCUAUAUAAUUUCUGAAAUGUAUAAUCGUUAUUAUUUAUUUACUUAGAUUAUUAAAUAAAUUAUUUUAAUUAAAUUUUCAUUAUUUAUUAUUUAAUUUUUUUAUUUAUAAUUUUUAUUGUUUUUAAUCAAUUUCAAUAUUUUAAUUGGUUUUAAUUUUAUUUUAUGGUCUUUUAAUUAAUUUGUUUUGAUUUUAAUUUUAUUUUAAUUUUAUAUAUUUACCAAUACAUUAUUUAAUUACAAUUAUCCCUUUUAAAUUCCAUUUACAUUUUACAAAUUUCCCAAUUCAAUAUCCAUAGUUUUGUUUCAAUUUAACACCUUUUUAUAGGUUUUAUUUAAUUGUAUUAAUCUUUCCCAAAUAGCCCAAUCUACUUAACAGAGGCAAUUGAGCCUUUAUUUUCAUCCCAUUUUCCCAUAUUCUACUUUUUAAAACAUCAUCCACCAUCUGUUGAAGUUAAACACCAUAUUCAAUAUUAAAAUUCAUCAACAACAGUAAAUAAAUCAUCGAAAUAAUGCUAACUCACUUACCCUUUUCAGCUUAAAUCACCACUUUCUUUUAGUUUUUGAAAAGAUUUACCGAAUGAAUCAACAUCUAGAAAAGCCAUACUUUUAUCACCCAUAAUAUAUCCCAUCUUACCUCAAAGAAGUGGCGAAAAUAAAGAACACGAGGAAAAGUUGAGUUUUUGAAGGCUUAAGGAACCAUUGUACAACAUAAUGGAUUGUUGCAGAAAUUGGAAUUAAUUUUCUGAUUUUUUAAAAGUGUUAAACUUUGUUUAACUGAUUCCUAACAACUUCAUAACACCCUAACAAUUUAUUCUAAUUGCUAACUAAUUAAAUUUGCAGAUAACAUAAGAUCUAGAUGAGGAAAUAACCAGAAAGUUUGGAAUUUUACCUGCACAGUCACAGUGACAGUUACUGCAGAAAUGGUUUAAUGAGGUUGCAGUGAUUCUAGGUUCAGAAUUUUGAGAAGGAGAUGUAUAAGUAUUCUAAAACCAUAAAGAAACUAUUUUAGGAGAAGAAGAUCGACUUAGAACAGGACAGAAGGAAAUCUCUUCCUUGUUUGCACUAGAUUUCCUUCACGGCACGACUCUCACUUUCACCUUUGAUUUCCAAUUUCUUCCUCGCCAAUCACUCUCGGUCUCACUCUACUUGUUGCGUUUUGGUUUUAGAUUGAAAUAGAAAAGAAGAAACAAAGGAGAAACCAGUUUAAAAAGAUUUGGGGGCCAAUCUUGGCCGUCCAAAACCAUGCAUGCACUCUUGGCCAUUAAUGCCAAGAGUGGCUGACAGCCCAAGGGAAGUUGUGAUCAGUGCUU
Molecule: long non-coding RNA, 9506 nt
Filed under: Carica papaya (papaya)
Lineage: Eukaryota; Viridiplantae; Streptophyta; Magnoliopsida; Brassicales; Caricaceae
Description: long non-coding RNA (CPAP_LNC010658)
Source: RNAcentral